This 443-nucleotide ribosomal RNA is filed under the name uncultured bacterium. RNAcentral describes it as "partial 16S ribosomal RNA". It matches the Rfam family "Bacterial small subunit ribosomal RNA", at positions 338 to 795 of the family's 1533-position model. The record is from RNAcentral.
CCUACGGGAGGCAGCAGUGGGGAAUAUUGGGCAAUGGGCGCAAGCCUGACCCAGCAACGCCGCGUGAAGGAAGAAGGCUUUCGGGUUGUAAACUUCUUUUCUGAGGGACGAAGAAAGUGACGGUACCUCAGGAAUAAGCCACGGCUAACUACGUGCCAGCAGCCGCGGGAAUACGUAGGUGGCAAGCGUUAUCCGGAUUUAUUGGGUGUAAAGGGCGUGUAGGCGGGAAAGCAAGUCAGCUGUGAAAACUCAGGGCUCAACCCUGAGCCUGCAGUUGAAACUGGUUUUCUUGAGUGCGGGAGAGGCAAUCGGAAUGCGGGGUGUAGCGGUGAAAUGCGUAGAUAUACGGAGGAACACCAGUGGCGAAGGCGGAUUGCUGGACAGUAACUGACGCUGAGGCGCGAAAGCGUGGGGAGUAAACAGGAUUAGAUACCCGAGUAGUC